CCUACGGGAGGCAGCAGUAGGGAAUAUUGCUCAAUGGGGGAAACCCUGAAGCAGCAACGCCGCGUGGAGGAUGAAGGUUUUCGGAUUGUAAACCCCUUUUGUUAGAGAAGAUAAUGACGGUAUCUAACGAAUAAGCACCGGCUAAUUCCGUGCCAGCAGCCGCGGUAAUACGGAGGGUGCAAGCGUUACUCGGAAUCACUGGGCGUAAAGAGAGCGUAGGCGGUUUAGCAAGUCAGAUGUGAAAGCCUAUGGCUUAACCAUAGAACUGCAUUUGAAACUGUUAGUCUAGAGUAUGGGAGAGGUAGGUGGAAUUCUUGGUGUAGGGGUGAAAUGCGUAGAGAUCAAGAGGAACACUGAUUGCGAAGGCGACCUGCUAGAACGUAACUGACGCUGAUGCGCGAAAGCGUGGGGAGCAAACAGGAUUAGAUACCCGGGUAGUC
RNAcentral lists this ribosomal RNA (440 nucleotides) under uncultured bacterium. Its description in RNAcentral is "partial 16S ribosomal RNA". It matches the Rfam family "Bacterial small subunit ribosomal RNA", at positions 338 to 795 of the family's 1533-position model. The record is from RNAcentral.